Megalobrama amblycephala (Wuchang bream) is the source of this 943-nucleotide long non-coding RNA. RefSeq lists it as uncharacterized. NCBI's taxonomy places the organism in Eukaryota, Metazoa, Chordata, Actinopteri, Cypriniformes, Xenocyprididae. The transcript has 2 exons. The record is from RefSeq and is a predicted model, not a curated record.
GAUACUUAAAUUUAAGAAAACUGCAUCAGAAAAUAUAAACUAAAAUAUUAUUAUUAUUAUUUAUGAUUUGAAUGGAACUAAGACACUGCGGGUCAAACCUGAACAGGAACUAAUGCCUGCUACAGACUGUAUGAUUUCAGCAAUCCUAUCAGAUCAUUACAAAUCACACGGUACGACAUGUAUCUAACAAACUUGGGUACGACAUGGACAGCAGACUGUACAAUGUUGAGACCUAUUGGAUCGUAGGCUACGACGCAAGUUAGUAUAGAAGAAUAAAACAUUGUCAAUAUGCGCUAGUGGUAAACAAAUAGAGCAAGAUGAAGCAUGCUUUGGCAGUUGUGGUUUUAAUGAAAACAAAUGUGAAAAAAAAGAGGAGGAAGCGAAAGAGGAGAAUAUGGACAUGGUCAUGGCUAGGGAAAAGAGGCCAGCAUGCCAAUUUUGCAAAAUGGAGCUUGAGCUGUGAACAGCAGAACCAUAUAUGAUUCUGCUGUGAUGUUGAGCGGAAAUGAUCCUCCAGGUGGGGAUUAAGAAUGUUGUACCUUACUUUUGGAAAUGCUAGGGACACACGUGGCUUCCUGGCAACUGUAGUGUAAACACUAAUGCAUCCUGAUGUGUCCCGGACAAUGGUGAAGGAAUACUUACUCACCAAACAUGCAAUCAUUCUGCAGAAACAAGGGCAUUAAACUUUGCAAGCUUUUGUGAACAAGAAAACAACUGUCUGAUCAUUUAUUUCAUGAAUCAUUUAGUAACACUUUACAUUAAGGUUCCCUUUGUAAAGGGUUUAUAAAGAUGUUUGUUAAUGACUAAUAGUUUAUUUACAAAUGCAUUAUAAGUCAUUGUUAAGCAGUUAUAACUGCAUGAAUAAAAAGGGUGACUUUAACGUAAUACCCGCCAAAUAGCCAAAAAAAAAAAAAAAAAAAAAGUUACAACAUUCAGUUCACAA